GCGGGGGUUGCCAAGUCUGGUCAAACAACCUUUUUGCAAGCAAAAAGGCGUUUCUGUUGCACAGAAACAGCCUCUUUCUACGCAAGUAGAAAGCUGCUUGACCAAAAAGGAGGAUUAAAGGCGCAGGAUUCAGAGUCCUGUCUCGUAGGAGUUCGGGGGUUCAAAUCCCCUCCCCCGCA
This 179-nucleotide transfer RNA is filed under the name Methanobacteriota archaeon. Its description in RNAcentral is "Euryarchaeota archaeon (groundwater metagenome) tRNA-Leu". It matches the Rfam family "tRNA". Rfam says of the family: Transfer RNA (tRNA) molecules are approximately 80 nucleotides in length. Their secondary structure includes four short double-helical elements and three loops (D, anti-codon, and T loops). The record is from RNAcentral. Lineage: Archaea; Methanobacteriati; Methanobacteriota.